Molecule: non-coding RNA, 85 nt
Organism: Felis catus (domestic cat)
Lineage: Eukaryota; Metazoa; Chordata; Mammalia; Carnivora; Felidae
Source: Rfam
GCCUGGGUGGCUAAGUCGGUUAAGUGUCCGACUUGGGCUCAGGUCAUGAUCUCACAGUUCGUGGGUUCAAGCCCCACGUUGGGCU